Molecule: long non-coding RNA, 407 nt
Filed under: Glycine max (soybean)
Lineage: Eukaryota; Viridiplantae; Streptophyta; Magnoliopsida; Fabales; Fabaceae
Description: long non-coding RNA (GMAX_LNC003398)
Source: RNAcentral
GAGUAUCCUAAAAAGGAGGAAAGUGGGUUAAGGAACACAGACACCCCAGAAAACCAAACUGGCAUCAGAUCCAUCCAAACCACAAAAGGUACGAACUUUGAUGCCAGAGAACCCAGAGAGAGAGAAAGAGAAUCAAUCAACGUGGGACAGAAUUUAGGAAGAAGUCAAAGCAUCAUAAACAGGGAAGGUUCCAAAGGGGUGUUAGCAGCAAUAGCAUAGCAGAGAAAGAAAGAAAGAAAGAAGCAGAGAUGGAUAGAGGCAAUGAUAACGUCACGCGGCUGUGAAGGUCAAGGACACACCAUCCCCGAAAUUUCGCCUUUCGUUGAGAAACAAACAAAGAAGAGAGAGAAAAGAAGACACUGUUCGCGUAGGUGCUUAAAAGAAAGAAAGAAAGGGUUCUGUUUUUG